ACAAAUGAAAGGGAACAGAGAAGUAGCGGAGGUUUGCUUCGGAUAUUCUUCCAUUGAGAUACCAUGCUGAACGGAAGCUUCUUCGUCGAUUCCUGCACCUAUAUAACAAUCAUCAAGCAUAUCAAAUAGGGCUUGGUGUUCAGUAAACAACUGGAAAGGAUUAAAUGGAGUCUGCCUUUCACGAAGUGCCUACCAAUGUAUCCCGUCGGAUGUCUCUUGCGUCAACUCUAUAAAACACUUGUAACAAACUUCUUCCCUGCUCAAUAUAUUGGAGCAACUAUGCUGCAUUUGUUAGAAGAAAAUGACUCACAAGGAACAAUCAUUUUCUCUAGAUAAAACAUAAGAAACAAGUUGUAUGUUGACUUACUCCUUUAAAUCAAACAUGCUCCAUGGCAUGGCAAAGUCUUCAUGUUCCUAUCAAAACCGCAACCGAGUUGCAGAAGCACUUGGUCUUAUCUCGUAAUCUAGCAAAUAAUCAGAACUACCACCAAAUGUGACUACCACGGUACCACAAUGCUAUGUCAUGGUAUCACAUAUCAAUCCGUCAUGAGUCAUAAGACAAGAAUAAUACUAUAGCCAAGAUCUAAAUGGGGCUUCACUGCAUCUACAACUGGAUUUUCAAAGAAGCAUAACUGAAGCAUGUUGAAUAAGUACAAACAGAUUCUAAUGAUGUAUAUCUGUAUAUGCAGCAAGUUGAAAAGUAAGAGAUGCAGACAGCAAGCAAUUGUC
This 729-nucleotide long non-coding RNA is filed under the name Triticum aestivum (bread wheat). Its description in RNAcentral is "long non-coding RNA (TAES_LNC008174)". The record is from RNAcentral. Lineage: Eukaryota; Viridiplantae; Streptophyta; Magnoliopsida; Poales; Poaceae.